AUCGUCUCCAAAAGCAAUCACUAAAGCUCAGGGCUUCAAAGUCUCAGCUGAUACAGCCAAGCUGGAAAACCUGCUCCGUGGCAACCUGGAAAAGGCCCCUUGAUCCUCUGAGGGCACAUCGAGAAUUUCUGGUUGAACCAGAUCACCAAUGGAGUCCCCUGGGGUGAGCGUCUUGUUAGCCCCAUGCCAGCUCAAGGAGUUUCACCCCAGCCCUGGUCAGGGUGGGUGCCUGCUUGCUCCAAGGCCAGAGAGGCCCAGGCAAAUCCCUGAGAGUCUGCAAAGAUGGAUUUCCUUUUUGAUGAGAGGAGAAAGAGCUUGUCUUUGGGUGAGAAUCCACAAGGAUUUUUGUCCCAUUCUGCAGGCAUCCAUCCCAGCUACCUUUCUAAUUCCACAGGUAAGAGGAUACUCACUCAUUUCCUUUCAAAGAGAUCCGUUUUUGGAGUUUGGGGCUAUUUGUGAGUGACAUAUUGGGGCA
RNAcentral lists this long non-coding RNA (475 nucleotides) under Phascolarctos cinereus (koala). RNAcentral describes it as "lncRNA (ENSPCIG00000013685.2)". The record is from RNAcentral. Lineage: Eukaryota; Metazoa; Chordata; Mammalia; Diprotodontia; Phascolarctidae.